CCUAAAGAUAUCCUGACUGUGCAGUGUCCACACAGAUUGUCUGAUGAAAUAGUAACGAGCAGAAAUACCUUUAUAGGCUUGUAGCUCAGGUGGUUAGAGCGCACCCCUGAUAAGGGUGAGGUCGGUGGUUCAAGUCCACUCAGGCCUACCAAAUUCUUCCUUAUGCUGCGUUAUGCUCCCGGUCGUUUACCGACGUAAAUUUCCCGGUCGCAUGCCUUGCCUAAGAAAGAAUUAACUCUUUGCGAGUUGGUAAUAACAAAGGUAUUGCACGCGAUUAUAUGGGGCUAUAGCUCAGCUGGGAGAGCGCCUGCCUUGCACGCAGGAGGUCAGCGGUUCGAUCCCGCUUAGCUCCACCAUAUAAGUCCGAAUAUCAAUACUUCAGAGUAUAUUGGCAACAGUAUGCUGCGAAGUAUUUUGCUCUUUAACAAUCUGGAACAAGCUGAAAAUUGAAACAUGACGGCUGAAACUUGUCCCUCCGUAGAAGUUUGGGAUAAGGAGUAACCUGUCAUAGAGUCUCUCAAAUGUUUGCAACGCGAAGUGAAACAUCUUCGGGUUGUGA
This 559-nucleotide unclassified non-coding RNA is filed under the name Serratia rubidaea. Its description in RNAcentral is "partial contains 16S ribosomal RNA, 16S-23S ribosomal RNA intergenic spacer, and 23S ribosomal RNA". The stretch from base 420 to 552 matches the Rfam family "Salmonella enterica Typhi npcRNA 44". Lineage: Bacteria; Pseudomonadati; Pseudomonadota; Gammaproteobacteria; Enterobacterales; Yersiniaceae. The record is from RNAcentral.